GUUGUCUGUUUUUUAACAAGCUCUCAGGACUAAAUGGAGAGAUCCCUUUCUGAGCGCUACCCCUGACUUUUGCAAAUGCCAUAUUUCCAAACCAAAAGGACUUCCAGACUAAAGGGAAAUUGCGUAGAGGGCUCUCUUGCUCUGUAAUCUCCAUUUUGACAGUCAUUUUUUAUGCUGCCCACCGUUAUCUUUUUGUAUUCACUUAAAAGUGGAUUUAAGUUUAAAAAUGUGCAUCUCGAACUAAUGUUCUCACUUGCUAGUGAAUAAAUGGAAUGAAAUAUGUAGGAUAUCAUUUAUAUUGUUCGUGCUACACCUGGCAAAAGCAGAGUCUUACUGCCUGAUGGAAUUAUUUGAUGUGCAAAAGACACCACUGGCAUAAUGUAAGAAGUGAAUCUACCGAAGGUAUCCUAUAAAUAAAGCAGGCUAUUCUGUUAGCCUAUGUCUUUCAGAAAGAUAAAAUGCAGUUUGGCAAUGUCACAAACUAUUUCCUUUUCCUCUUCGUGCAUUGUUCUCUUUCAGUAGGCCAGUCUUUGUCCUAUUUCAUUUUCCCAUAGAACUCAGCUCAUGAGGUUAACUUUUACAGCCAUUUUUUAAGGCAGUAGAACUUUCAUGGGUGAAGAUUACUUGCUUUAAGUUGCCAAGUUACGGAGGAACGGACUAAAGCCAUAAAGUAUUAAGUUAGUCUCAAAAGCGUGCAUCCAGGAUGCAACGAUCCAUGGAACGUUGAAGGGCUCUUGUGGGAUUGGAAAAACAGAACAUUGAAAUUCCCACCAAAGCGGCCACAAAGCAAUCAACAGAGAAUUUUAAAGUCAUUAUCUGUCUUCUCUGUGUUCUGUGCAACUGGUUUCCAUUCCUACAAAGUCAGCUGGGCCAUUCAGAGAGUAAGUGCUCAUAUUUCAGUAUAUAUUCAUACUGACAAGUUUAUCCUAAUUUUUUUUUUUGAGAGACAUGGCAGCUUUUGAGGUUGAUACUAUUAGUAGAAUAUUAAGGUUGAGGAGGGUGAAAAUAGAAAAACAAAUGAGGACCAGAGCUUUCCAGAUCUCCUGAUAGCUUUAGAUUCAAAAACAAGUAAGCAAAACCCUAAAACUCU
This 1090-nucleotide long non-coding RNA is filed under the name Struthio camelus australis. RNAcentral's name for it is "lncRNA (ENSSCUG00000010255.1)". Lineage: Eukaryota; Metazoa; Chordata; Aves; Struthioniformes; Struthionidae. The record is from RNAcentral.